GAUGAACGCUGGCGGCGUGCCUAAUACAUGCAAGUCGAGCGAACGGACGAGACGCUUGCUUCUCUGAUGUUAGCUGCGGGCUGGUGAGUCACACUUGGAUAACCUACCUAUAAGACUGGGAUAACUUCGGGCAACCUUAGCUAAUACCGGAUAAUAUUUUGAACCGCAUGGUUCAAAAGUGAAAGACGGUCUUGCUGUCACUUAUAGCUUGAUCCGCGCUGCAUUAGCUAGUUGGUAAGGUAACGGCUUACCAAGGCAACGAUGCAUAGCCGACCUGAGAGGGUGAUCGGCCACACUGGAACUGAGACACGGUCCAGACUCCUACGGGAGGCAGCAGUAGGGAAUCUUCCGCAAUGGGCGAAAGCCUGACGGAGCAACGCCGCGUGAGUGAUGAAGGUCUUCGGAUCGUAAAACUCUGUUAUUAGGGAAGAACAUAUGUGUAAGUAACUGUGCACAUCUUGACGGUACCUAAUCAGAAAGCCACGGCUAACUACGUG
RNAcentral lists this ribosomal RNA (497 nucleotides) under uncultured bacterium. RNAcentral describes it as "partial 16S ribosomal RNA". It matches the Rfam family "Bacterial small subunit ribosomal RNA", at positions 28 to 507 of the family's 1533-position model. The record is from RNAcentral.